AAUCUUCCACAAUGGACGAAAGUCUGAUGGAGCAACGCCGCGUGCGUGAAGAAGGUUCUCGGAUCGUAAAGCUCUGUUGUAUGGGAAGAACAAAUACAGGAGUAACUGUCUGUACCUUGACGGUACCUUACCAGAAAGCCACGGCUAACUACGGUCCAGCAGCCGCGGUAAUACGUAGGUGGCAAGCGUUGCCCGGAAUUAUUGUGCUUAAAGCGCGCGCAGGCGGUCCUUUAAGUCUGAUGUGAAAGCCCACGGCUCAACCGUGGAGGGUCAUUGGAAACUGGAGGACUUGAGUACAGAAGAGGAAAGCGGAAUUCCACGUGUAGCGGUGAAAUGCGUAGAGAUGUGGAGGAACACCAGUGGCGAAGGCGGCUUUCUGGUCUGUAACUGACGCUGAGGCGCGAAAGCGUGGGGAGCAAACA
RNAcentral lists this ribosomal RNA (422 nucleotides) under uncultured bacterium. Its description in RNAcentral is "partial 16S ribosomal RNA". It matches the Rfam family "Bacterial small subunit ribosomal RNA", at positions 360 to 774 of the family's 1533-position model. The record is from RNAcentral.